AAAAUAUAACAGAAUGUCAUAAAAUUGUGGCCUGUUAUGACAGAAGAGCUAGAAAGGCCCCCAAAAUAUGAAAUUGCAUAUAGACGUUGAGAAAAUAUGACUUUCAUUGUAGGCCAUGUGGAAGAUCACUUUAUACAUGUACAUGUAACAUAAUAUUCGUCAAAAGGGGACACAUACAAAUUUUUCUGUUUCUGCCUCCUAGGCCGGGAUUAUGAAAAGAAUAAAGUCUGCAAGGAAUUCUCCCAUCUGGGAAAGGAGGACUUCACAUCUCUGUCACUAGUCCUGUACAGUAGAAAAUUUCCCAGUGGCACGUUUGAACAGGUCAGCCAACUUGUGAAGGAAGUUGUCUCCUUGACCGAAGCCUGCUGUGUGGAAGGGGCUGACCCUGACUGCUAUGACACCAGGACCUCAGCACUGUCUGCCAAGUCCUGUGAAAGUAACUCUCCAUUCCCCGUUCACCCAGGCACUGCUGAGUGCUGCACCAAAGAGGGCCUGGAACGAAAGCUCUGCAUGGCUGCUCUGAAGCACCAGCCACAGGAAUUCCCUACCUACGUGGAACCCACAAAUGAUGAAAUCUGUGAGGCGUUCAGGAAAGAUCCAAAGGAAUAUGCUAAUCAAUUUAUGUGGGAAUAUUCCACUAAUUAUGGACAAGCUCCUCUGUCACUUUUAGUCAGUUACACCAAGAGUUAUCUUUCUAUGGUAGGGUCCUGCUGUACCUCUGCAAGCCCAACUGUAUGCUUUUUGAAAGAG
Molecule: small RNA, 750 nt
Filed under: Pongo abelii (Sumatran orangutan)
Lineage: Eukaryota; Metazoa; Chordata; Mammalia; Primates; Hominidae
Description: retained intron
Source: RNAcentral